GGAGGGUGCUAGCGUUAAUCGGGAAUUACUGGGGCGUAAAGGGCGCGUAGGCGGAUAUAUAAGUCAGAUGUGAAAGACCUGGGGGCUUACCCUGGGGGGGUUGCAUUUGAUACUGUAUGUCUAGAGUUGAGUAGAGGGAAGUGGAAUUUCCGGUGUAGCGGUGAAAUGCAUAGAUAUCGGAAGGAACACCAGUGGCGAAGGCGACUUCCUGGACUCAAACUGACGCUGAGGCGCGAAAGCGUGGGGAGCGAACAGGAUUAGAUACCCUGGUAGUCCACGCCGUAAACGAUGAGAACUAGCUGUUGGUAGGCUUGACCUGUCAGUGGCGCAGCUAACGCAUUAAGUUCUCCGCCUGGGGAGUACGGCCGCAAGGCUA
RNAcentral lists this ribosomal RNA (376 nucleotides) under uncultured organism. RNAcentral's name for it is "partial 16S ribosomal RNA". It matches the Rfam family "Bacterial small subunit ribosomal RNA", at positions 527 to 896 of the family's 1533-position model. The record is from RNAcentral.